RNAcentral lists this transfer RNA (70 nucleotides) under Marmota monax (woodchuck). Its description in RNAcentral is "tRNA.Val". The record is from RNAcentral. Lineage: Eukaryota; Metazoa; Chordata; Mammalia; Rodentia; Sciuridae.
GGGGCUGUAGCUCAGUGGUAGAGUGCUCACCUCACAGGAGAAGGCACUGGGUUUGAUCCUCAGCACCACA